GAUGAACGCUGGCGGCGUGCCUAAUACAUGCAAGUCGAGCGAACAGAUGAGGAGCUUGCUCCUCUGACGUUAGCGGCGGACUGGUGAGUAACACGUGGAUAACCUACCUAUAAGACUGGGAUAACUUCGGGAAACCGGAGCUAAUACCGGAUAAUAUAUUGAACCGCAUGGUUCAAUAGUGAAAGACGGUUUUGCUGUCACUUAUAGAUGGAUCCGCGCCGCAUUAGCUAGUUGGUAAGGUAACGGCUUACCAAGGCAACGAUGCGUAGCCGACCUGAGAGGGUGAUCGGCCACACUGGAACUGAGACACGGUCCAGACUCCUACGGGAGGCAGCAGUAGGGAAUCUUCCGCAAUGGGCGAAAGCCUGACGGAGCAACGCCGCGUGAGUGAUGAAGGUCUUCGGAUCGUAAAACUCUGUUAUUAGGGAAGAACAAAUGUGUAAGUAACUAUGCACGUCUUGACGGUACCUAAUCAGAAAGCCACGGCGAACUACGU
RNAcentral lists this ribosomal RNA (496 nucleotides) under uncultured bacterium. Its description in RNAcentral is "partial 16S ribosomal RNA". It matches the Rfam family "Bacterial small subunit ribosomal RNA", at positions 28 to 506 of the family's 1533-position model. The record is from RNAcentral.